RNAcentral lists this unclassified non-coding RNA (252 nucleotides) under Ascomycota sp. RNAcentral's name for it is "partial contains small subunit ribosomal RNA, internal transcribed spacer 1, and 5.8S ribosomal RNA". The stretch from base 1 to 47 matches the Rfam family "Eukaryotic small subunit ribosomal RNA", at positions 1785 to 1831 of the family's 1831-position model. The record is from RNAcentral. Lineage: Eukaryota; Fungi; Ascomycota.
AAAGUCGUAACAAGGUUUCCGUAGGUGAACCUGCGGAAGGAUCAUUAAAAAAAAAUAAAGAAUUUCGUAUUCUUAAACCCCUGCAGUGUACUUGUUCAUGUUGCUUCCGUGGGUAGCAGGUCUUAUGCUUGCGUUCACAUUCAUUGUGGGCCCACGGGAGGUAAUUAUUCACUUCGUCUUCAUAUGAUAUCUGUCUGAAAUUGAUUAGUUUGUUAAUGUUAAAAACUUUCAACAACGGAUCUCUUGGUUCUC